GGGUGAAAAGGUGCGGUAAGAGCGCACCAGUACAGCCGGUAACGGGUGUAGCUGGGUAAACCUUAGGCGUUGAAAGACCAAAUAGGCUGACAGCUCAGGGUACAGAAAACAGUUUGCAGUAAACAGUUACCAGUUUAUUCUGAUAAUUGAUAACUGCUCAUUGAUAACUGUAACCUGAUAAGGGCGGCUCGUCCGAUGUCAGUGGGUAGGUUGAUGGAGCCGGUGCGUGAGUGCCGGCCUAGAUAAAUGAUAAGACCGGAAGCUUUGCUUCCGGACAAAACCCGGCUUACAGGUUUGCUAUAUUU
This 305-nucleotide RNase P RNA is filed under the name Cytophagales bacterium CG18_big_fil_WC_8_21_14_2_50_42_9. Its description in RNAcentral is "partial RNase P RNA component class A". It matches the Rfam family "Bacterial RNase P class A", at positions 152 to 367 of the family's 367-position model. From Rfam's summary of the family: Ribonuclease P (RNase P) is a ubiquitous endoribonuclease, found in archaea, bacteria and eukarya as well as chloroplasts and mitochondria. Its best characterised activity is the generation of mature 5'-ends of tRNAs by cleaving the 5'-leader elements of precursor-tRNAs. Cellular RNase Ps are ribonucleoproteins. Lineage: Bacteria; Pseudomonadati; Bacteroidota; Cytophagia; Cytophagales. The record is from RNAcentral.